AUUGAACGCUGGCGGCAGGCCUAACACAUGCAAGUCGAACGGUAACAGGAAGCAGCUUGCUGCUUCGCUGACGAGUGGCGGACGGGUGAGUAAUGUCUGGGAAGCUGCCUGAUGGAGUGGGAUAACUACUGGAAACGGUAGCUAAUACCGCAUAAUGUCGCAAGACCAAAGAGGGGGACCUUCGGGCCUCUUGCCAUCGGAUGUGCCCAGAUGGGAUUAGCUUGUUGGUGGGGUAACGGCUCACCAAGGCGACGAUCCCUAGCUGGUCUGAGAGGGUGACCAGCCACACUGGAACUGAGACACGGUCCAGACUCCUACGGGAGGCAGCAGUGGGGAAUAUUGCACAAUGGGCGCAAGCCUGAUGCAGCCAUGCCGCGUGUAUGAAGAAGGCCUUCGGGUCGUAAAGUACUUUCAGCGGGGAGGAAGGGAGUAAAGUUAAUACCUUUGCUCAUUGACGUUACCCGCAGAAGAAGCACCGGCUAACUCCGUG
RNAcentral lists this ribosomal RNA (490 nucleotides) under uncultured bacterium. RNAcentral's name for it is "partial 16S ribosomal RNA". It matches the Rfam family "Bacterial small subunit ribosomal RNA", at positions 30 to 507 of the family's 1533-position model. The record is from RNAcentral.